Long non-coding RNA from Halichondria panicea, 2562 nucleotides. RefSeq lists it as uncharacterized. NCBI's taxonomy places the organism in Eukaryota, Metazoa, Porifera, Demospongiae, Suberitida, Halichondriidae. The record is from RefSeq and is a predicted model, not a curated record. The transcript is spliced from 13 exons.
UGCAUCUAGAUUCAUUAGACUAUCAUGUGACUGGAAAAGAGGGGUGGGGCUGCAUGUGUUGUGCAGAAUUUGACUAAUUAGCGAGUUAUUACACUUUCCAGAUUGGUGGCAAUGGACUCUGAUGAAUGGACCAACGGUAGAUUACGUCAUGAGGAGGCUGAGAGCCUGCAGGGUGGGUGGGGCUCACACACACAAGCCCCAUGCAGUAUGCACACGUACACAGUACAGUGCUAGACGCUCAAGUAUCCACUGCAGCAUAUCGCAUGUAGACUAGAUCUACUGUUGAUUGAAGCAUAGAUAGUAGAAGAAGUAAGGGAGUAGUCUCUCGAAACAUGUCUGUCGAUUCCUCUACUAUAUAUCUAUAAUUGAAGCAACAAUUUAAGAAAGGUAUGGAACAGCUGGUCCAGGUCUCCUUGGUGUCGUCCUUUCACUCCCUACACAAAGUACAAGUGUUUAAACAUUCUCGGUAUGGCUCCGUUGGUAUCAGGUAAACCUGAAAAUGCAUUCGUUGGUCCAUUAAAGUUCCUAUUUCAGUGGGUGGACCAACGGGCUGGAUAACAAGCAAGAAAAUAGUUUACUUACAUUGUACUUUGCAUGCAUUCUUUUUUAUAGCCGUAUCCGAGCUCAUUUAAAAGCUUGGUGUCUUCGUUGGCAUCAGGAAAACCUGCUCGUUAGUCCAUACAGGAGGCCGUUUCUGGAAACUAGGUGGACCAACGGCCUGGACGACAAGUAAAAAAAUAGUUCACGCACUUUGAAUGCAUUCUGUGUUCCCCAGUUUGGUGUGAUUAUGAGCUCAUUUCAAAGCUUGGUGUCUCCGUUGGCAUCAUUAUAAACUGGAAAUCCUGCUUGUUGGUCUAUGAGGUUUCCUGUUUCUGGAAACUGGAUGGACCAACGGCCUGGACGACAAUUUGGUGUGAUUAUGAGCUCAUUUCAAAGCUUGGUGUCUCCGUUGGCAUCAUUAUAAACUGGAAAUCCUGCUUGUUGGUCUAUGAGGUUUCCUGUUUCUGGAAACUGGAUGGACCAACGGCCUGGACGACAAUUUGGUGUGAUUAUGAGCUCAUUUCAAAGCUUGGUGUCUCCGUUGCAUCAUUAUAAACUGGAAAUCCUGCUUGUUGGUCUAUGAGGUUUCCUGUUUCUGGAAACUGGAUGGACCAACGGCCUGGACGACAAUUUGGUGUGAGCAAGCUUGCAUGGUGUCUCCGUUGGCAUUAUUAAACUGGAAAACCUGCUCGUUGGUCCAUAUAAGGUUUCAUGUUUCUGGAAACUGGGUGGACAAUUAAUGGCCUGAACGACAAGUAAGAAAAUAGUUCACGCACUUUCUUUUAAUGUGUUCCAGGUUGGUGUGAGCUUCAAAGCUUGCAUGGUGUCUCCGUUGGCAUCUUUAAACUAGAAAACCUGCUCGUUGGUCUAUAAGAUUUCCUGCUUCUGGAAACUAGGUGGACCAACGGUCUGGACAACAAGUAAGAAAUAGUUCACGCAGCUUGAAUGCAAUGUGUUUCAGGUUGGUGUCAGCUCAUUUCAAAGCUUAGUGUCUCUUGUUUGCAUCAAUUAAGGAAACUAGGUGGACCAACGGCCUGGACGACAAUUGGUUGUCAGAGCUUGGUGGCUCUCCGUUGGCAUCAUGCAGUUAUACUAAUAAACCUGGACGUUGGCCCAUAACCUUUUCUGUUUUGGAAACUGGGUGGACCAACGGCCUGGACGACACUGACAGGUGGGUAUCAGCUCAUUUCAAAUGCUGCAUGCAUGGUGGCUUUGUUGGAAACUCGAAAACCUGUUCCCUGCAUGGUCUAUCAGAAUAUCAUAUCCAGCCGGAAAUUGGAUAGACAACAGCCUAUACGACAGCUGCAUCUACAGACUCUAUUAUACAUCAGACUGAAUGAAAGCCUCACUGCGACUCUGUAUGCUGAAAUCUACAAUGACAUUUAAGGAUUCUGUUUCCGUGUAGAGUAAGAGGCUGGCACUGGAUUCUUGUUGCUGUCAAUCUCCCAAAGAAAACUGUCUAUGUUCUUGACUCCCAGUCGCCAAUUCUCUCACCUUUUACUGAGCAGGCAACAUGCAUGCACAAGACAUUAAUCACUUCUUAAGCAUGUGCAUUCGAUCACCUGCAAAGAUGGAUAUACAGUGUGUGAAGGUGGCCGCUCAGGAUGGAGUUGAAUGUGGCAUUCAUGUGAUACACAAUAAUUAUUAUGACAAUGGUCAAGUUUUCUGGACUACCUGCAUCAAAGCACCUGCAAAAGUCUGUAAACACUGCUGAAUUACGUGGAUUGAUCCUGUUAUCAUGCUACUCCACUCAACAAAGCCAAAAGACAUCUCACGGCGUCAGAAGGAGUAAAAGGGUUGCUAAUACAGAUCUGCAGACUGAUGAUGAUGCCAGUGUAUCUGUUAAGAAGACAGCAAAAUCGAAGCCUUAACUGCUAUUUUUACUUAACAUUAAUUGUAUAGCUUGUAGUAUAGCUCAGAAUGUUUAUUUUUUAUUGUAUAUAAUUAUGUGCAAUAAUAAUUAUAGUUACUAGUUUCCCUCAUAUAGUUUCUCAUCUGUUAUUCCCCCAUGCAUAUAAUAUG